This 1491-nucleotide long non-coding RNA is filed under the name Anolis carolinensis (green anole). RNAcentral describes it as "lncRNA (ENSACAG00000037680.1)". Lineage: Eukaryota; Metazoa; Chordata; Lepidosauria; Squamata; Anolidae. The record is from RNAcentral.
ACCUUUAAAAGCUCUGUAAAUGUGGGGAUUUCAACAGGUGUUGCUUGCUACCAACCAGGUAACACAACCCUUGCUGAAAUUUCCUUUUCUGUGCAACAUUAAAGGUAUCAGAGCCCUCUCCUGUUUUCACUCUGACAACUUUUACAAGAAUUGUUGUAACAUUCAAGACAGAGUCAGACCAGCUGUGAGUAAUAUUUAUCUGCCAAAUGUUUUGCACAUUGGGUGCAGCCAGCUGGCAAGAGGCCACCCAUCUCCUCAGCCUUCAGCCAUCCAAAGUGCGGAGUAGAAUAUCCUCCAGCUCAUUCACUCCAGGGCCAGUGUGUGAUAAUCCAGGCUGUGUUUCCAAGACCAGGCUGCACCUUCUUCUUGGUGGUCCCUGGGGACUAUUGUCUAAGCACACUUCCCGUUCCCCAUCUGAGGAGGCCUCCUCCAGGUAGGACAUGACACCGUCAUUCAUUCAUAAUGAACUAGGGCAGAUAUAUUGAAUUGGAUUAUCUGAGGAUCCUUCCCCACAGCUAUAUAACCCAAAAUAUCAAGGCAGAUAAUUCACAAUAUCUGUUUUGAAUUGGUUUAUCUGAGUCCACACUGCCCUAUAAUCCAGUUCAAUGUGGAUUUCAUACAGCUAUGUGGAAGGGGCCUGAGUCUACACUGCCAGAUAAUCCAGUUCAAAGCAGAUAAUCUGAAUUUUAUACAGCUGUGUAGAAGGGACCCUAGACAACCUGACUUGUAACAAUAUAUAAUUUCUGCAUCAAGAAAAAUUCAAAACUAUAACUAAUGAACAUUUUGCUGUGUGUGUUAAUGUGGAUGCACCUUGUAGCACCUUGAAGACUAACAGAGAUAAGUUUCUAGCACAAGCUUUUGUAGACUAAGGGUGCAUCUACACCACACAUGUCAAUUACAAGGCCUGUGGGCCAAAAUCAGCCUACCAUAUCAUUUUAUGUGAUCCACAAGACUUUCAAUGCCAGGUCAACAUAGUUACAUGUAUACAGUCUUACAAUUAUAAACAGCCCUUUGAUGGCAACCAUAAGGCUGAUGUGGCCCUUGGUGAAAAUGAGUUGACAUCCUGAUCUACACUGUAGAAUUAAUGCAGUGUGGCCCCACUUAAACUAUCAUAGUUCUCGCAGAAGCAGAGGCAGCAGGAGGACAUUUUUGCUCCCUGGCUUCAGGUAGGAUUUGGCUAAGAUUUGGCUAAGAUUUUAAACUGAGUGUGGGCUUGGCUCCUGUGGUCAAAGUCUAACUGUUGUGUGACUGUUGUGUUGAAAGAGAGCCAGGUACUUAAGUUGAUUGACAGCAGGCAUUGUCCCCUGUUAAUUGAGUUUCUGGGAAAGCUUUAUUUGCCAGUGUCGCGCGCGCCGUCAGGCACCUUUACUAACUAUCCUUUGCAGUACAUACAGGAAACAAAGCAACAUAAACAAAUACACAAAGAGGUGGUUUGUUGCAGUCUGCACAUAAAGUGCAUGCAUAUUACUUAACUGUACAAAAUCCCACUUG